GAUGAACGCUGGCGGUAUGCCUAACACAUGCAAGUCGUACGAGAGUUUUUAACUCUAGUGGCGGACGGGUGAGUAACACGUGAGAAUUUGCCUUUAGGAGGGGGACAACAAUUGGAAACGAAUGCUAAUACCCCAUAUGCUUUCGAGUGAAAUGGAUUUUAUCCGCCUAGAGAGAAGCUCGCGGCUGAUUAGCUUGUUGGUAAGGUAAGAGCUUACCAAGGCUAUGACGCCUAACUGGUUUGAGAGGAUGAUCAGUCACACUGGAACUGAGACACGGUCCAGACUCCUACGGGAGGCAGCAGUGGGGGAAUAUUUGGCACAAUGGACGAAAGUCUGAUGCAGCAACGCCGCGUGGAGGAUGACACAUUUCGGUGCGUAAACUCCUUUUAUAUAGGAAGAUAAUGACGGUACUAUAUGAA
RNAcentral lists this ribosomal RNA (419 nucleotides) under uncultured bacterium. RNAcentral's name for it is "bacterial SSU rRNA". It matches the Rfam family "Bacterial small subunit ribosomal RNA", at positions 28 to 486 of the family's 1533-position model. The record is from RNAcentral.